CCUACGGGAGGCUGCAGUGGGGAAUAUUGGACAAUGGGGGGAACCCUGAUCCAGCCAUGCCGCGUGUGUGAAGAAGGCCCUCGGGUUGUAAAGCACUUUCAGUGAGGAAGAACGCCUGGUGGUUAAUACCCAUCAGGAAAGACAUCACUCACAGAAGAAGCACCGGCUAACUCCGUGCCAGCAGCCGCGGUAAUACGGAGGGUGCGAGCGUUAAUCGGAAUUACUGGGCGUAAAGCGCGCGUAGGUGGCUUGAUAAGCCGGUUGUGAAAGCCCCGGGCUCAACCUGGGAACGGCAUCCGGAACUGUCAAGCUAGAGUGCAGGAGAGGAAGGUAGAAUUCCCGGUGUAGCGGUGAAAUGUGUAGAGAUCGGGAGGAAUACCAGUGGCGAAGGCGGCCUUCUGGACUGACACUGACACUGAGGUGCGAAAGCGUGGGUAGCAAACAGGAUUAGAUACCCCAGUAGUC
This 465-nucleotide ribosomal RNA is filed under the name Vreelandella stevensii. Its description in RNAcentral is "partial 16S ribosomal RNA". It matches the Rfam family "Bacterial small subunit ribosomal RNA", at positions 338 to 795 of the family's 1533-position model. Lineage: Bacteria; Pseudomonadati; Pseudomonadota; Gammaproteobacteria; Oceanospirillales; Halomonadaceae. The record is from RNAcentral.